This 569-nucleotide ribosomal RNA is filed under the name Beauveria brongniartii. RNAcentral describes it as "eukaryotic LSU rRNA". The stretch from base 193 to 346 matches the Rfam family "5.8S ribosomal RNA". Lineage: Eukaryota; Fungi; Ascomycota; Sordariomycetes; Hypocreales; Cordycipitaceae. The record is from RNAcentral.
UCCGUUGGUGAACCAGCGGAGGGAUCAUUACCGAGUUUUCAACUCCCUAACCCUUAUGUGAACCUACCUAUUGUUGCUUCGGCGGACUCGCCCCAGCCGGACGCGGACUGGACCAGCGGCCGCCGGGGACCCUCAAACUCUUGUAUUAUCAGCAUCUUCUGAAUACGCCGCAAGGCAAAACAAAUAAAUCAAAACUUUCAACAACGGAUCUCUUGGCUCUGGCAUCGAUGAAGAACGCAGCGAAAUGCGAUAAGUAAUGUGAAUUGCAGAAUCCAGUGAAUCAUCGAAUCUUUGAACGCACAUUGCGCCCGCCAGCAUUCUGGCGGGCAUGCCUGUUCGAGCGUCAUUUCAACCCUCGACCUCCCUUUGGGGAAGUCGGCGUUGGGGACCGGCAGCACACCGCCGGCCCUGAAAUGGAGUGGCGGCCCGUCCGCGGCGACCUCUGCGUAGUAAUCCAACUCGCACCGGAACCCCGACGCGGCCACGCCGUAAAACACCCAACUUCUGAACGUUGACCUCGAAUCAGGUAGGACUACCCGCUGAACUUAAGCAUAUCAAUAAGCGGAGGA